This is a long non-coding RNA of Oryza brachyantha (malo sina), 1471 nucleotides long. RefSeq lists it as uncharacterized. The record is from RefSeq and is a predicted model, not a curated record. The transcript is spliced from 5 exons. NCBI's taxonomy places the organism in Eukaryota, Viridiplantae, Streptophyta, Magnoliopsida, Poales, Poaceae.
CUUCGAGGGGACAAGCGUGCGCCGUGCCGGCGAGCGGCGAGAGGAGAGGAGAGGGGAGCGCACGCCGCCACAGAACGGCGAGGCCUGCCCGCACGAUACAUCCAACUAUACAGCUCAUGCAUCCAAGCCGACACAGGAUAUAAACAAAGGAAAUUAAAGCAUAUAUGCCACAUGAUUUGGAAUAUCAGGGUAAGUCACUGGAUCAGUUGUCUCUGUGGAAAAGCUCUCGUCAAUCAUCACAGUUGGGGUCCUGGGAAAAAAAGUGGUGGCAUCAGAUGUUGGUAUUCCAGGACAGAGGGCAUCUUCUUCCCUUUGUUUACCCUGGGGGCAGCUAGAUACCCUAGCAAUUUCAUUCAGAAAUCCAUCUUUGCUUCUCCAAUCCAAGAAGAAGCACGUUCAGUGUUGUCUGUGAUCAGUUUCUGAACGGAGCUUCCCAUAAUUGCACAGAUAAUUGCUCAGGUACAGGAAUAAUGAUUUGUCUGCUGACUGUCUCUGCCGUCAAUGGGAACACCGAUGAUCAUUGUACAGAGGGAGGCUUGUUGCCUGUGAACUUGUGUUUUUUAGAAUUUAGAAAUAUGGAAAAAGGCCUUGGAGGAGGAGACAAAAACAUUUGGAGUAUAGUAUUCCCCCAAAUGAGCUAGUCAAUGCAAGUAUUAUGGCUGGUUUCCUUGCCUGUCUGACAAAAGAAAAAAAGUUUAAUCCAUGAUUCCAUGAUUAGGAUUGUAAUGGCAUCCCUCCUGUGCCCAUGUGACAGCGGAUACUCUAUCCCCAAUUAAACAAGCGCGCGGCGAAUCAAAAGGCAUUGAUUGAUGAUUUUAUAAUCUGGUUUCCAGCUGAUCGUUUUUGUCCUUUGAUUCCCCAUGCAACGGAUCUCAUCCGUUCUGGAGGCUUGCAUUGUCUGUUGUGCUAUGCAUUUGUAUAUGUUUUUCUGGAGAUUUUUGGAGCAAUUAGCACAUCGCCGGUGUCUUUAUAGGAGCAUGACGCUGCAAUUAGCUAGCCGGGAAAAAGGAUUUUCUGGUGACAGCCUGACCUUCUUCUGCUUUGGCACAGGGGUGGUGGCGGCAGGAGCAGCAUGGCGAUUAGCAGCAGCAAGGCUGGCAUUAGAAGAUCACGGGAAAGGUGAGUUUGACAAACGAAACGGGGCAUCUUUUCUCUGGGGUCCCCAGAAAAACAUAGGUCCAGUACAGCACCCCCCUUCACUACAGUACAACACAAUAUACUACUGCCUCCUUUCUAAGACUUCAUUUUUAGAUAUCUUUAUUUGUCCUACAACGACUUUAUCUUUAGAGCAAUUAUUUCACUAGAGUUUGGUAAAGUGUGAGAUAAAUAUACUGUAAGUUAUAAAAUAAAAGAUAAACGCAUUUGGCCUAGAAAAAGAAGGAUAUUAGCGUUUUUAAACUAUGAUUGGUACGUGUGAGAUAUGUUAAAAAUGAAGUUUUUUUUUGAGUUGGAAAGAGUAUUAAGAUGCACA